Molecule: long non-coding RNA, 497 nt
Filed under: Homo sapiens (human)
Lineage: Eukaryota; Metazoa; Chordata; Mammalia; Primates; Hominidae
Description: novel transcript
Source: RNAcentral
ACAUCUAUUAACUUUUAUGGAUAAUUCUUUUUGAACAAAACUAAUCUCAUAUUUUGGAUUCUUAAAAUGGCUUUGGUUUCAACUCGUUUUAGGCAAGCCUGAUCAAAACUUCUCAGGUUUUAUUUUUAAUUUGUGCGAUAGGAUUAUUAUUUUUAUUUUGUUUAGCUGUACUAAUCAUUUUUAGAAGAAAAUGUUCCUUUCUUGAUAAAACUUUUAAAAAAAAUACAUUUUGUGCAGAGUUCUUAAUUUCCAUAACAGCCCACCUGAUGUGUAAAAUAUGUUGGUGCACAGUAAAAUUUCACAGUGUGUGCUUUCCUGUCCUUCUUUUUCCUGGUAUAGUUGGGGUGUAACUUGACUUAGACACUACUAAUUGUUAUAAACCUCCAGUACCCUUGAUUUGCCAAAUAAGUUUGAAGAACAAAGUGUAUCAUUUUCUGUUACCUUAACUCUCACAAUGCUGUAUCACAUAAUAAAGCCUCAACAGACUUGGAUUAAAA